GACGAACGCUGGCGGCGUGCUUAACACAUGCAAGUCGAACGGAAAGGCCCUGCUUUUGUGGGGUGCUCGAGUGGCGAACGGGUGAGUAACACGUGAGUAACCUGCCCUUGACUUUGGGAUAACUUCAGGAAACUGGGGCUAAUACCGGAUAGGAGCUCCUGCUGCAUGGUGGGGGUUGGAAAGUUUCGGCGGUUGGGGAUGGACUCGCGGCUUAUCAGCUUGUUGGGGGGGUAGUGGCUUACCAAGGCUUUGACGGGUAGCCGGCCUGAGAGGGUGACCGGCCACAUUGGGACUGAGAUACGGCCCAGACUCCUACGGGAGGCAGCAGUGGGGAAUAUUGCACAGUGGGCGGAAGCCUGAUGCAGCAACGCCGCGUGCGGGAUGACGGCCUUCGGGUUGUAAACCGCUUUCGCCUGUGACGAAGCGUGAGUGACGGUAAUGGGUAAAGAGGCACCGGCUAACUACGUG
RNAcentral lists this ribosomal RNA (468 nucleotides) under uncultured bacterium. RNAcentral describes it as "partial 16S ribosomal RNA". It matches the Rfam family "Bacterial small subunit ribosomal RNA", at positions 28 to 507 of the family's 1533-position model. The record is from RNAcentral.